This 354-nucleotide ribosomal RNA is filed under the name Triticum aestivum (bread wheat). RNAcentral's name for it is "partial small subunit ribosomal RNA". The record is from RNAcentral. Lineage: Eukaryota; Viridiplantae; Streptophyta; Magnoliopsida; Poales; Poaceae.
AUGAGUCUGUUAUGCUGGAACUGUCGCGGUGUUGGCAAUCCAGCGACAGUUCGAGAGCUUCGUGAUAUCACGAGGCAACUUGCCCCCUCUAUAUUAUGUAUCGUAGAAACUCAAAUAUAGGGCUCUAGAGUUGAAAGUUUGGUAGACACUUUAGGUUUCAAUAAAAGUUUUGCAGUCAGUAGUAAUGGUAGAAGUGGAGGUCUUGGAAUAUUUUGGAAUGAUGAAAUUCAGCUUGAAAUUGUUGGUUAUUUGGAAUAUCACAUUGAUGUGACAGUUGAUGCUCCCAUGGAUACAAAAACUGGGGUGACCUUCGUCUACGGGGAAGCCCAAGUUAACCAGCGAUACAAAACAUGA